This 1654-nucleotide long non-coding RNA is filed under the name Triticum aestivum (bread wheat). RNAcentral describes it as "long non-coding RNA (TAES_LNC000773)". Lineage: Eukaryota; Viridiplantae; Streptophyta; Magnoliopsida; Poales; Poaceae. The record is from RNAcentral.
UACCAUCUACCAGAAUUCGUCUUCGUCGUCACCGUCCACCUCAAGGGAAGUAUGACUUGUUCAACUUUUCACAUUCGUCCCUCCGCAAUGUCGUUGAGCGUGCUUUUGGGGUGCUCAAGCAGAAAUGGCGCAUAUUGAAAGGGGUCCCAAGUUUCUCACCUCGUAUGCAAAAGCAUAUCAUCAUUGCUUGCAUGGCAUUGCACAACUUCAUUCGUGAUAGCAAGUUGAGUGAUAAAUUUUUUGAUAAAUGUGAUGCCGAUGAUGAGUAUGUACCUCCAGUGCUACGACGGGAAGUAGCACCAACACAAGCGGAUCCCGUUGAAGAGGAGGAGAACGAAGAUACCAUGGAUACUAUUCGUAGUAGGAUAGCCGAUGCUUGUCUUGCGAUAGCAACAUAGGUUAGCUAUCUUGAUGGAGGUCAUCAUCAUGCGAACCAUAUGUAUAUUCUAUGGUGCAUGCCUUUUGUAAUAUAAUUAUGGGGUCAAUAUCUAUAUAUAUAUAAUAUAGUAUGCAACUUGAAAGUAUAAUCGUUGAAUUCGUAUGUGUUAGCUGUGAAUCAUCUAAAUUGUCAUUAUUUUCCUUUGCAAAACGGUCGUUCUAUUGCCUACCAAUGUAUAUAUCACUAUUUUACGGUUAAGUUGCACAUAAAAAUAUUGAAUUAUUGUCCAGGGUCAUUAUAGACAAUUCACAGUCAAAUCUGCAGUUUCACAGCUGUUUCAGCCAAACGACUUCCAGCUUUUCCACAGCUCAGAGCUCACAGCAGCUUUUACAAAAUCUGCAGCUCAACCAAACACAGCUAAGAGUGAUAGAUUACGAAUUACAUAGUCUGGUUUGUUCAUAUGAGUGUUAACUCCUAAGGUUUUUAAAAAGGUAUAACAUAACAACACAUGUCGUCAUUCAUUAUAUUCUUAUGUGAGAUGCUCACUUGGUGAUUUGGUGUUCAUUUUCAGGGAAAUACUAUCUUGUGGACUCUGGGUAUGCAAACCGAAUAGGAUAUCUUGCUCCUUUUAAGGGGAGUACGUACCAUCUACCAGAAUUCCGUCUUCGUCGUCACCGUCCACCUCAAGGGAAGUAUGAGUUGUUCAACUUUUCACAUUCGUCCCUCCGCAAUGUCGUUGAGCGUGCUUUUGGGGUGCUCAAGCAGAAAUGGCGCAUAUUGAAAGGGGUCCCAAGUUUCUCACCUCGUAUGCAAAAGCAUAUCAUCAUUGCUUGCAUGGCAUUGCACAACUUCAUUCGUGAUAGCAAGUUGAGUGAUAAAUUUUUUGAUAAAUGUGAUGCCGAUGAUGAGUAUGUACCUCCAGUGCUACGACGGGAAGUAGCAUCAACACAAGCGGAUCCCGUUGAAGAGGAGGAGAACGAAGAUACCAUGGAUACUAUUCGUAGUAGGAUAGCCGAUGCUUGUCUUGCGAUAGCAACAUAGGUUAGCUAUCUUGAUGGUGGUCAUCAUCAUGCGAACCAUAUGUAUAUUCUAUGGUGCAUGCCUUUUGUAAUAUAAUUAUGGGGUCAAUAUCUAUUUAUAUAUAAUAUAGUAUGCAACUUGAAAGUAUAAUUGUUGAAUUCGUAUGUGUUAGCUGUGAAUCAUCUAAAUUGUCAUUAUUUUCCUUUGCAAAACGGUCGUUCUAUUGCCUACCAAUGUAUAUAUCACUAUUUUACG